CGCGUAGGCGGCCAUCUAAGUCGGACGUGAAAUCCCCCGGCUUAACCUGGGAACUGCGUCUGAUACUGGAAGGCUUGAGUAUGGGAGAGGGAUGUAGAAUUCCAGGUGUAGCGGUGAAAUGCGUAGAUAUCUGGAGGAAUACCGGUGGCGAAGGCGGCAUCCUGGACCAUUACUGACGCUGAGGCGCGAAAGCUAGGGAGCAAACG
This 206-nucleotide ribosomal RNA is filed under the name uncultured bacterium. RNAcentral's name for it is "partial 16S ribosomal RNA". It matches the Rfam family "Bacterial small subunit ribosomal RNA", at positions 568 to 774 of the family's 1533-position model. The record is from RNAcentral.